Molecule: ribosomal RNA, 462 nt
Filed under: uncultured bacterium
Lineage: Bacteria
Description: bacterial SSU rRNA
Rfam family: Bacterial small subunit ribosomal RNA
Source: RNAcentral
AGAGUUUGAUCAUGGCUCAGAGUGAACGUUGGCGGCGUGGAUUAGGCAUGCAAGUCGAGCGAUCGUAGCAAUACGGGAGCGGCAAACGGGGUAGGAAUACAUCGGAACGUACCUUUUGGUUGAGAAUAGCGUUGGGAAACUGACGGUAAUACUCAAUAAAGUCGAGAGACCAAAGGUUUACUGCCGGAAGAGCAGCCGAUGCGAUAUUAGGUAGUUGGUGGGGUAAUGGCCUACCAAGCCUGAGAUGUCUAGGGGGUGUGAGAGCAUGGCCCCCACCACUGGGACUGAGAUACUGCCCAGACACCUACGGGUGGCUGCAGUCGAGGAUCUUCGUCAAUGGGCGAAAGCCUGAACGAGCGACGCCGCGUGCGGGAUGAAGGCCCUUGGGUUGUAAACCGCUGUCAGGGGGGGUGAAACCGUAAGGUUGACAGAGCCCCAGAGGAAGCACGGGCUAAGUUCGUG